This 602-nucleotide ribosomal RNA is filed under the name uncultured bacterium. RNAcentral's name for it is "bacterial SSU rRNA". It matches the Rfam family "Bacterial small subunit ribosomal RNA", at positions 1 to 627 of the family's 1533-position model. The record is from RNAcentral.
CGCGGGAAUUCGAUUAGAGUUUGAUUCUGGCUCAGAAUCAACGCUGGCGGCGUGCCUAACACAUGCAAGUCGAACGAGAAAGGGGAGCAAUCCCUGAGUAAAGUGGCGCACGGGUGAGUAACACGUGACUAACCUACCCUGGAGUGGGGGAUAACUGAGGGAAACCUUAGCUAAUACCGCAUAACACCUACGGGUCAAAGGAGCAAUUCGCUUCAGGAGGGGGUCGCGGCCGAUUAGUUAGUUGGCGGGGUAAUGGCCCACCAAGACGAUGAUCGGUAUCCGGCCUGAGAGGGCGCACGGACACACUGGAACUGAAACACGGUCCAGACUCCUACGGGAGGCAGCAGUGGGGAAUUUUGCGCAAUGGGGGAAACCCUGACGCAGCAACGCCGCGUGGAGGAUGAAGUACUUCGGUACGUAAACUCCUUUCGAUCGGGACGAUAAUGACGGUACCGAGAGAAGAAGCCCCGGCUAACUUCGUGCCAGCAGCCGCGGUAAUACGAGGGGGGCGAGCGUUGUUCGGAAUUAUUGGGCGUAAAGGGUGCGUAGGCGGUUUGGUAAGUCUGAUGUGAAAUCUAUGGGCUCAACUCAUAGUCUGCAUC